RNAcentral lists this ribosomal RNA (495 nucleotides) under Pseudomonas sp. RNAcentral describes it as "bacterial SSU rRNA". It matches the Rfam family "Bacterial small subunit ribosomal RNA", at positions 23 to 513 of the family's 1533-position model. Lineage: Bacteria; Pseudomonadati; Pseudomonadota; Gammaproteobacteria; Pseudomonadales; Pseudomonadaceae. The record is from RNAcentral.
CUCAGAUUGAACGCUGGCGGCAGGCCUAACACAUGCAAGUCGAGCGGAUGANNNGAGCUUGCUCCUGGAUUCAGCGGCGGACGGGUGAGUAAUGCCUAGGAAUCUGCCUGGUAGUGGGGGACAACGUUUCGAAAGGAACGCUAAUACCGCAUACGUCCUACGGGAGAAAGCAGGGGACCUUCGGGCCUUGCGCUAUCAGAUGAGCCUAGGUCGGAUUAGCUUGUUGGUGAGGUAAUGGCUCACCAAGGCGACGAUCCGUAACUGGUCUGAGAGGAUGAUCAGUCACACUGGAACUGAGACACGGUCCAGACUCCUACGGGAGGCAGCAGUGGGGAAUAUUGGACAAUGGGCGAAAGCCUGAUCCAGCCAUGCCGCGUGUGUGAAGAAGGUCUUCGGAUUGUAAAGCACUUUAAGUUGGGAGGAAGGGUUGUAGAUUAAUACUCUGCAAUUUUGACGUUACCGACAGAAUAAGCACCGGCUAACUCUGUGCCAGCA